This 735-nucleotide long non-coding RNA is filed under the name Medicago truncatula (barrel medic). Its description in RNAcentral is "long non-coding RNA (MTRU_LNC006192)". The record is from RNAcentral. Lineage: Eukaryota; Viridiplantae; Streptophyta; Magnoliopsida; Fabales; Fabaceae.
CAAAACGAUUAUGUGAAGAAUUAACCGUAACAUGCACGUGUUUUUCAUAAAUCAACCGAGCUUUGAUGAACAUGAUUCUAGACGACUACAUUUCACCAAAUCGUCGUUUUCAAAAACACGAUACGGUGAAUAAUUCCUAACUAACCAAGAAAACCUUGGAAAUCGUUGCAAACCUCAAUUAAUGAUUACGAUAAACAAGUAAGAGAACAAACACAGGAAAAGUUUAAGAGAAAGAACACAUAAAUGAUAAAUGAUGAAGAGAACAAAGAUAAAGGAAAAGGAAAGAAAGCUUGCUGUUUGUUGGAAGCAGAGGCAGCAGAAGCAGAAGUUUUUUUUUUUUUUUUUUUCAGAAAAAGGUGGCGGUGAAAAGUGAAAGGGUGAUUGUGGUUUGUUUUAUAUAAAGGGUAAAUUUGGUAGUUUAUGUCAAAUGUUGGGGUGAAGGUAUAAUAAGGUUGGGGUAUGGGGUAUAACUUUCUAAAAGAACAAUUAGAUAUGUUAAUAUAUGUUCAAGUAUGCAAGACCAUACACUAAAACUCAAUGUAUAAAUUCAAGUUCUGAUACUUGAAGAACGUAUACAAUAGCAAUUAGAUUUUGAAGAAGCUUGACAGGAUGCAUUAACUAAAAAAUAAAAGAGAAAUACAAAGAAGAAAGAAGGAAAACUAGGUCAACACCUUUUCAAAAAGAUAAAAAUUUAAAGUUAGGCAAACUUAACCUAUUUUUUUAUGUCAAGGGGAU